RNAcentral lists this ribosomal RNA (1296 nucleotides) under metagenome. Its description in RNAcentral is "bacterial SSU rRNA". It matches the Rfam family "Bacterial small subunit ribosomal RNA", at positions 8 to 1264 of the family's 1533-position model. The record is from RNAcentral.
AGAGUUUGAUUCUGGCUCAGAACGAACGCUGGCAGCGUGGAUUAGGCAUGCAAGUCGAACGAGAAGCCCUGGUCUCAAUCUUCGGAGAGAAACCAGGGUGGAAAGUGGGUGAGUAACGCGUGGGUAACCUGCCUCUGAGUUGGGGACAACCCUUCGAAAGGGGGGCUAAUACCGAAUACGGUCUUCUCGGGCAUCCGAGAAUGACUAAAGGUGGGGAUUCUUCGGAACCUGUCGCUCGGAGAGGGGCUCGCGUACCAUCAGCUUGUUGGUGAGGUAAUGGCUCACCAAGGCUCCGACGGUUAGCUGGUCUGAGAGGAUGGUCAGCCACACUGGGACUGAGACACUGCCCAGACUCCUACGGGAGGCUGCAGUCGAGGAUCAUAGUCAAUGCGCGGAAGCGUGAACUUGCGACGCUGCGUGGAGGAUGACGGCCCUAGGGUUGUAAACUCCUGUCAUGGGGGAAAAAUCCUCCUGUCCUGAAUACGGGCGGGAGUUGAUGGUACCUCAAGAGGAAGCCACGGCUAACUCUGUGCCAGCAGCCGCGGUAAUACAGAGGUGGCGAGCGUUGUUCGGAUUUACUGGGCGUAAAGCGUGCGUAGGUGGCAUCGUGUGUCGGAUGUGAAAGCUCAUGGCUCAACCGUGAAAUUGCAUUCGAAACUGCGGAGCUAGAGUGCAGGAGGGGAGAGCGGAAUUCUUGGUGUAGCGGUGAAAUGCGUUGAUCUCAAGAAGAACACCGGUGGCGAAGGCGGCUCUCUGGAAUGUUACUGACACUGAGGCACGAAAGCUGGGGGAGCGAACAGGAUUAGAUACCCUGGUAGUCCCAGCUGUAAACGGUGUGCACUUGGUGUGGGGGGUAUUGACCCCCCCCGUGCCGGAGCUAACGCGUUAAGUGCACCGCCUGGGGAGUACGGCCGCAAGGCUAAAACUCAAAGAAAUUGACGGGGGCCCGCACAAGCGGAGGAGCAUGUGGCUUAAUUCGAUGCAACGCGAAGAACCUUACCAGGGCUUGACAUGCAGCUGCACGUCCGGUGAAAGUCGGAAAGCCUUCGAGGGUGCUGCACAGGUGCUGCAUGGCUGUCGUCAGUUCGUGCCGCGAGGUGUUGGGUUAAGUCCCGCAACGAACGCAACCCCUGUGGUUAGUUGCCACCACCGGUGAUGAGCCGGUGAGCACUCUAGCCAGACUGCCCGUACAAGCGGGAGGAAGGUGGGGACGACGUCAAGUCAGUAUGGCCCUUACGUCCUGGGCUGCACACGUGCUACAAUGGUCGGUACAGAGGGACGCAAUGCCGCGAGGUG